Leptopilina boulardi is the source of this 319-nucleotide long non-coding RNA. RefSeq lists it as uncharacterized. The transcript has 2 exons. The record is from RefSeq and is a predicted model, not a curated record. NCBI's taxonomy places the organism in Eukaryota, Metazoa, Arthropoda, Insecta, Hymenoptera, Figitidae.
CUAAAAUUAUGAAAAUUAUGUUUAAUUAUAUUAUGAAAAAUAGUAGUCUAGUAGUCUAAUUUAUAAUGUCAAAGAAGUUAUUGUUUAUUGCUCCAAAAUAGAAAAAAGAAUUAAAAACAGCAACAACACAGAAAACACAGAAAGCAUACCAUUGUUGACCAGUAGGUUUCAUAUAGUUUACAAAAGUUUUUACAAUUAAUCUGUUUGAAAAAAUCAAGAAUUAUAAACACUUUUUUACCUGCCCUCUACCAAUUUUUUUUGUUCUUAUCUAUUAAGCUUUAAAGAUUAUAUUUUAAUUUAAAAAAAAAAAAAACUUUUA